Molecule: non-coding RNA, 275 nt
Organism: Hydra vulgaris (swiftwater hydra)
Lineage: Eukaryota; Metazoa; Cnidaria; Hydrozoa; Anthoathecata; Hydridae
Source: RefSeq, a predicted model, not a curated record
AGCCUCAUCCAGCACCUAAACUAAUGUACGUUUUACUGUUUAAUUCUGUCGUUCUACUGACACAAUAGCUUGUGGAUGAUAUGAACUCGGUUGGAGGAGAUGAGAAACAACUUACAGCGGCAAUCUUAAUACAGCUAAUGGCCAAAGAAGUAUGUUUUUCAUACUCAGUGUAUGGAAUGAAACAAAAACGUCCUGCAAGGUCGUUAUAGAGUUGCGUUUAGUCGUUUAUCGUUGUAUUCGUUCAUUUCGAAAUCGCUACUGACAAAAGUAUUAAA